GAUGAACGCCGGCGGCGUGCCUAAUACAUGCAAGUCGAGCGAACAGACGAGGAGCUUGCUCCUCUGACGUUAGCGGCGGACGGGUGAGUAACACGUGGAUAACCUACCUAUAAGACUGGGAUAACUUCGGGAAACCGGAGCUAAUACCGGAUAAUAUAUUGAACCGCAUGGUUCAAUAGUGAAAGACGGUUUUGCUGUCACUUAUAGAUGGAUCCGCGCCGCAUUAGCUAGUUGGUAAGGUAACGGCUUACCAAGGCAACGAUGCGUAGCCGACCUGAGAGGGUGAUCGGCCACACUGGAACUGAGACACGGUCCAGACUCCUAAGGGAGGCAGCAGUAGGGAAUCUUCCGCAAUGGGCGGAAGCCUGGCGGAGCAACGCCGCGUGAGUGAUGAAGGUCUUCGGAUCGUAAAACUCUGUUAUUAGGGAAGAACAAAUGUGUAAGUAACUAUGCACGUCUUGACGGUACCUAAUCAGAAAGCCACGGCUAACUACGUG
RNAcentral lists this ribosomal RNA (497 nucleotides) under uncultured bacterium. Its description in RNAcentral is "partial 16S ribosomal RNA". It matches the Rfam family "Bacterial small subunit ribosomal RNA", at positions 28 to 507 of the family's 1533-position model. The record is from RNAcentral.